This 230-nucleotide ribosomal RNA is filed under the name uncultured bacterium. RNAcentral's name for it is "partial 16S ribosomal RNA". It matches the Rfam family "Bacterial small subunit ribosomal RNA", at positions 564 to 791 of the family's 1533-position model. The record is from RNAcentral.
AGCGUGCGCAGGCGGUUAUGUAAGACAGAUGUGAAAUCCCCCGGGCUCAACCUGGGAACUGCAUUAGUGACUGCAUAGCUGGAGUACGGCAGAGGGGGAUGGAAUUCCGCGUGUAGCAGUGAAAUGCGUAGAUAUGCGGAGGAACACCGAUGGCGAAGGCAAUCCCCCUGGGCCUGUACUGACGCUCAUGCACGAAAGCGUGGGGAGCAAACAGGAUUAGAUACCCUGGU